This 480-nucleotide ribosomal RNA is filed under the name uncultured bacterium. Its description in RNAcentral is "partial 16S ribosomal RNA". It matches the Rfam family "Bacterial small subunit ribosomal RNA", at positions 28 to 507 of the family's 1533-position model. The record is from RNAcentral.
GAUGAACGCUAGCGGCAGGCCUAACACAUGCAAGUCGAGGGGUAGAAGGAGCUUGCUCCUUUGAGACCGGCGCACGGGUGCGUAACGCGUAUGCAAUCUACCUUGUACAGGGGAAUAGCCCAGAGAAAUUUGGAUUAAUGCCCCAUAGUAUAUAACCUUCGCAUGUUGGUUAUAUUAAAGUUCCAACGGUACAAGAUGAGCAUGCGUCCCAUUAGUUAGUUGGUAAGGUAACGGCUUACCAAGACGAUGAUGAGUAGGGGUCCUGAGAGGGAGAUCCCCCACACUGGUACUGAGACACGGACCAGACUCCUACGGGAGGCAGCAGUGAGGAAUAUUGGUCAAUGGUCGCAAGACUGAACCAGCCAUGCCGCGUGCAGGAAGACGGUCCUAUGGAUUGUAAACUGCUUUUAUACAGGAAGAAACCCUCCCACGUGUGGGAGCUUGACGGUACUGUAGGAAUAAGGAUCGGCUAACUCCGUG